UCUACGGGAGGCAGCAGUGAGGAAUAUUGGUCAAUGGACGAGAGUCUGAACCAGCCAAGUAGCGUGAAGGAUGACUGCCCUAUGGGUUGUAAACUUCUUUUAUAAAUGGAUAAAACGAGGCACGUGUGCCUUUUUGCAUGUACUUUAUGAAUAAGGAUCGGCUAACUCCGUGCCAGCAGCCGCGGUAAUACGGAGGAUCCGAGCGUUAUCCGGAUUUAUUGGGUUUAAAGGGAGCGUAGAUGGGUUGUUAAGUCAGUUGUGAAAGUUUGCGGCUCAACCGUAAAAUUGCAAUUGAUACUGGCAGGCUUGAGUACAGUUGAGGUAGGCGGAAUUCGUGGUGUAGCGGUGAAAUGCUUAGAUAUCACGAAGAACCCCGAUUGCGAAGGCAGCUUACUAAGCUGUGACUGACAUUGAUGCUCGAAAGUGUGGGUAUCAAACAGGAUUAGAUACCCUGGUAGUC
RNAcentral lists this ribosomal RNA (460 nucleotides) under uncultured bacterium. RNAcentral's name for it is "partial 16S ribosomal RNA". It matches the Rfam family "Bacterial small subunit ribosomal RNA", at positions 338 to 795 of the family's 1533-position model. The record is from RNAcentral.